This 439-nucleotide ribosomal RNA is filed under the name uncultured bacterium. Its description in RNAcentral is "bacterial SSU rRNA". It matches the Rfam family "Bacterial small subunit ribosomal RNA", at positions 28 to 476 of the family's 1533-position model. The record is from RNAcentral.
GAUGAACGCUGGCGGCGUGCUUAACACAUGCAAGUCGAACGGGAUCCAUCAAGCUUGCUUGGUGGUGAGAGUGGCGAACGGGUGAGUAAUGCGUGACCGACCUGCCCCAUACACCGGAAUAGCUCCUGGAAACGGGUGGUAAUGCCGGAUGCUCCAGUUGGAUGCAUGUCCUUCUGGGAAAGAUUCUAUCGGUAUGGGAUGGGGUCGCGUCCUAUCAGGUAGUCGGCGGGGUAACGGCCCACCGAGCCUACGACGGGUAGCCGGCCUGAGAGGGCGACCGGCCACAUUGGGACUGAGAUACGGCCCAGACUCCUACGGGAGGCAGCAGUGGGGAAUAUUGCACAAUGGGCGCAAGCCUGAUGCAGCGACGCCGCGUGCGGGAUGACGGCCUUCGGGUUGUAAACCGCUUUUGAUCGGGAGCAAGCCUUCGGGUGAGUGU